Parus major (Great Tit) is the source of this 624-nucleotide long non-coding RNA. RefSeq lists it as uncharacterized. The record is from RefSeq and is a predicted model, not a curated record. The transcript has 3 exons. NCBI's taxonomy places the organism in Eukaryota, Metazoa, Chordata, Aves, Passeriformes, Paridae.
UUGGUGGCAUGUCAGCAGUAAGUGUCUGAUAUAUUCAGUGAUAGAUUCAGAUGUGCUGCUGGGGUUGGACUAGUUGAUCUCCAGAGGUUCCCUUCCUACCUUAAUUAUUGUACAGUUCUACAACUGCUUGGGGUUUUAUUUUGGUCUGAGAUCAAGUUGCAAGUGUUUCAGCAUGCCAGACUUCUUCAAUAAACCAGCCUGUAAUCCCUUUGAAGUGGAAUGUACUUCAAGCCAUACAAAGAACCAGCUGUCCAUGAUGAAGCAGAAAUCCUGGUAUGCUGUGUCUUCCUUGGGCUCCAUGGGUGUCAUGCUGCUGGCAAUUCUGCCAGGGAACAUCAAAUGCCUCAGCCUCCAGCAGAUACCGUGGUGGCUUGGAAAUAGCCCCUGGAAGUUCUUAUCAUCUUCAUGCCAGAUGUUUCAGACACUAAGCACCUCGUGGAACUUCAGUCAGAAAGAGAAGGAGCUUCUGGUAUGUUCUGUUAAAGCAGAAUAGUAAAUAUCUCCUUCAACACACAAUUUACCUGCAUACAGCUUAUGAUGGAAUCUGUUGCUUCCCUGGUUUUAUUCCCUUGAAGGGCAUUAACUCUGCUAUACAAAUUAGUAAAUGGAAUUAUCUGCAGAAAA